Molecule: long non-coding RNA, 1154 nt
Organism: Passer domesticus (house sparrow)
Lineage: Eukaryota; Metazoa; Chordata; Aves; Passeriformes; Passeridae
Exons: 4
Source: RefSeq, a predicted model, not a curated record
GCUGUCUCCAUCUGUCACCAUCCUCCAACAUUAACCCAGAAGACCUCGUACUCUCACAUGCAACCCAAAAUAUUCACACAACACUCCAGGGCAUGUGUAUACUCUCCACAUCACACUUAUUAAAAUCCCACUCUUGAGGCUGUAAGGCGGUUUCCUCAUUAGCAGCCUGGCCUGUGGACCCAGGCCUGACGACAAGUGCUGUUAACACCAUGUCAACAGAUGUCUGAGGAACACUGUGGAGCCAGCCUGAGCCUCACAGAGGCAGCAGCCCUCCUUUCAGCGUGCAAAAGGAAAGCCCAGGAGGGGAGAGCCAGCCAGAUGCCCCGAAGGAAUCAUCAGGAGUUUCCUGAUAUCUAUUCACACUUUGGUGCUUAACUCAUUCACAGCUGGCCCAGGACAGCUUCAUCCAGACUUCCUUUGGGGAAUGCUUCCUGACCCAUGCUGACUCCCCUAGGCACUGCCUGCAUGCACUAGCUCACACAAACAAGAUGUUCUCUGGCAAAUGAUAUGAAUCCUUUGUCAAGGCUGUCCAGAUGGCCUUUGUGAAUAAAAUACUGCACACAGCAGUGACAUACUUGUUGGACAGAUAACUUGCAGAUUUGGAAACAGCCUGUUGGAGAGCUUCUUCAUUAAACUAAUAAUGUUUCUGGUGAUUUGGUUACAAGAAGCCAAAGGCCUGGUGACAAUUUCACAGAAAAGAAAGUUUUAGCUGCUAUGACAACCUGAACAACUGUGUUUCUCCUCAUGACAACCUGUCUGAAUUAUAUAAAGUCAUGAACCCACAAUGGAAAAUAGAUUGCAGAAAGGUCUGUAAGAAAUGUUAAACUAUACCUGGGAGAUGACAAAAAAAAACUUAAUAUAAUGAUUCUGUUACCCUUUUCAUGAAAUAAGAUUGAGAAGAUUGUAAGGAUGUUGAAAGCUGCUUUGGUUAUUGCUUUGAUGCUUCUUUUACAAACCUUUUUUUCCCCAGCAAAAUAGGUACAGCUCAAAACAGGAGUUCUUCAGUUGCCUUUAUUGGCAACAAAGUGGUCUCAACACAGUUAAAAAUAAAGCAGAAAAGACAGGAUGAAGAAAAAAGAUGAACAAGACAAAUUUUUAAGAAAAGCGAGGCUUGAAUAAAAGACAAACACAACAAAUUUCCAAUAAAUGUGAGG